CCUCUUUCAUCUUAUCCACCAUGCACGAACACUACUUCCACCGUACCCGCAUAUAUUUGCUCCUAGCUAGUUCUAUCUAACCUAAUAUGUCCACACGUUCGUUUCAAUAUCUUCAUUAUUGCUAUUUUUAUCUUUUCAACAUACGAAUUAUUGACCAAUCAACACUACGCCUCAUUCAAUAUAUUGCUUGUUUAAACGCC
Molecule: long non-coding RNA, 200 nt
Filed under: Solanum tuberosum (potato)
Lineage: Eukaryota; Viridiplantae; Streptophyta; Magnoliopsida; Solanales; Solanaceae
Description: long non-coding RNA (STUB_LNC005148)
Source: RNAcentral